RNAcentral lists this transfer-messenger RNA (395 nucleotides) under Candidatus Peribacteraceae. RNAcentral describes it as "UBA2170 sp018652955 Standard tmRNA". It matches the Rfam family "transfer-messenger RNA". From Rfam's summary of the family: Bacterial tmRNA, also known as 10Sa RNA or SsrA, is named for its dual tRNA and mRNA-like properties. Its role is to liberate the mRNA from a stalled ribosome. Lineage: Bacteria; Candidatus Peregrinibacteriota; Candidatus Peribacteria; Candidatus Peribacterales. The record is from RNAcentral. RNAcentral also lists the same sequence under 2 other names.
GGGGAUGACAGGCUUCGACAGCGUGAUUCUAGAGUAAGACCGUUUCUGUUCGGGAUGGCAUCGGUUCCCGAUACCCACUUGAUGCACCCCUUAAUUGCAGAAGACUCUGUAAUUGGUAAAGCUAUGGCUAGAAUGCAAUUUGCAUUCGCACCUGCGCUUGCCGUUUAGUUCGUCUUUACGAACACGUCUCUCUUCUGACUUCCGCUAUGUAGAAGAGGCGCAACUUAGCGGAACGGGUUACUGAGUUGAUACGACAGUAAUACUGUACCCAGUAUCGAUCCUCCUUUUUCUCUCUUGUUUCUUCUCUUGUGAAACUGGUGAACUAGAAGAUCCAUGACAGUAUGAACACUUGCGCUACACGUUGGACCCGGGUUCGAUUCCCGGCAUCUCCACCA